ACGCUCGACACCUACGGGGGCAGCAGUGGGGAAUAUUGCACAAUGGGGGAAACCCUGAUGCAGCGACGCCGCGUGAAGGAAGAAGUAUCUCGGUAUGUAAACUUCUAUCAGCAGGGAAGAAAGUGACGGUACCUGACUAAGAAGCCCCGGCUAACUACGUGCAGCAGCCGACGGUAAUCUGGAGGCGGGCGUGGACGAAGGC
This 202-nucleotide ribosomal RNA is filed under the name uncultured bacterium. RNAcentral describes it as "partial 16S ribosomal RNA". It matches the Rfam family "Bacterial small subunit ribosomal RNA", at positions 328 to 538 of the family's 1533-position model. The record is from RNAcentral.